CCCACACAGAGCCCCCGGGCAUCGCAGCGCCCCGGCUCCUCUCCCACACAGGGGGUGCAGGGGGGAUGCAGUGGGGCACAGUGUGGAUGCAGGGGGGAUGCAGUGGGGCAGGAGGUGUGCGGGGGUGCAGGGCAGCACAGCGGGGGUGCAGGGGGGAUGCCAUGGGGCACAAUGUGGGUGCAGCGGGGUGCAGUGGGGCACAAUGUGGAUGCAGCGGGGCACAGUGUGGAUGCAGUGGGGUGCAGUGGGGCACACGAGGUGUGCGGGGGUGCAGUGUGGAUGCAGUGGGGCACAGUGUGGGUGCAGUGGGGCACAGCAGGGCCUGGCCGCCCCACGUCACCCCCUGCGGAAGGGCAUGCAGGGGGGCCCGGCGCGGGUGCAGCAGGACACAGCAGGAUGCAGCAGGGCGCUGUGGGGCCGGGGGCCUCACCCCCCACACAAGGGUGCAGUGGGGCGGCGCAGUGGGGCCCGGUGUGGGUGCAGGGGGCACAGCAGGGACGUUGUGGGGCCCCGUAGGGAUGCCAUGGGGCGCAACGUGGAUGUAGCGGGGCACGGUGGGGAUGCCGUGGGGCGCAGCAGGGAUGGUGUGGGGCGCAGCAGGGAUGCCGUGGGGCACCACAGCCCCAUCUCACCUCUCGCAGAAGGUGUGCAGGGGGGAGGGAGGGUGCAGUGGGGUGCAGCAGGGAUGCCAUGGGGCGCAGCAGGGAUGCAGUGGGGCGCAGUGGGGCGCAGUGGGGCAGCACGGCCCGGUCUCACCUCUCGCAGAAGGUGUGCGGGGGGGGGAGGGUGCAGGAGGGAUGCAGUGGGGCGCAGCAGGGAUGCCGUGGGAUGCAGCAGGGAUGCAGUGGGGCGCAGCAGGGACGCCGUGGGGCGCAGCAGGGAUGCCGUGGGGGCGCAGUGGGGCGCAGUGGGGCAGCACGGCCCGGUCUCACCUCUCGCAGAAGGUGUGCAGGCAGGGCAGCACCUUGGGGCUGCGGUAGCGGUCGAGGCAGAUGCUGCACACCAGGAACUGCUUGUCAAUCUGCCGC
Molecule: long non-coding RNA, 1028 nt
Filed under: Dromaius novaehollandiae (emu)
Lineage: Eukaryota; Metazoa; Chordata; Aves; Casuariiformes; Dromaiidae
Description: lncRNA (ENSDNVG00000000346.1)
Source: RNAcentral